RNAcentral lists this ribosomal RNA (503 nucleotides) under uncultured bacterium. RNAcentral's name for it is "partial 16S ribosomal RNA". It matches the Rfam family "Bacterial small subunit ribosomal RNA", at positions 30 to 523 of the family's 1533-position model. The record is from RNAcentral.
AUUGAACGCUGGCGGCAGGCUUAACACAUGCAAGUCGAGCGGGGUGAUGGUGCUUGCACUAUCACUUAGCGGCGGACGGGUGAGUAAUGCUUAGGAAUCUGCCUAUUAGUGGGGGACAACAUCUCGAAAGGGAUGCUAAUACCGCAUACGUCCUACGGGAGAAAGCAGGGGAUCACUUGUGACCUUGCGCUAAUAGAUGAGCCUAAGUCGGAUUAGCUAGUUGGUGGGGUAAAGGCCUACCAAGGUGACGAUCUGUAGCGGGUCUGAGAGGAUGAUCCGCCACACUGGGACUGAGACACGGCCCAGACUCCUACGGGAGGCAGCAGUGGGGGAUAUUGGACAAUGGGGGGAACCCUGAUCCAGCCAUGCCGCGUGUGUGAAGAAGGCCUUAUGGUCGUAAGGCACUUUAAGCGAGGAGGAGGCUCUUUUGGUUAAUACCCAAGAUGAGUGGACGUUACUCGCAGAAUAAGCACCGGCUAACUCUGUGCCAGCAGCCGCGGUAA